Molecule: long non-coding RNA, 331 nt
Filed under: Mytilus galloprovincialis (Mediterranean mussel)
Lineage: Eukaryota; Metazoa; Mollusca; Bivalvia; Mytilida; Mytilidae
Source: RNAcentral
CACAAAGCAGGGGUUUCAUUAUCUUUCAUGUUGACUGGUACUUUCCACGUUUCUAGGUGGUACUUUUCAAUUUAUUCCAUGAAUAUCUUAUAUAAAAAUUCCUACAUUUAGGCGGUACUUGUCAAUAGCAUAGGAGGGUAAAAGUACCGGGUACCGCCUCCUAAUGAAUGGCCUGACAAAGUGUCUUUUUGAUUCCUAGAUACCACAGUGUGGUAAUAGUAUACCACACAAAGUGUCUUUUUGAUUCAUAGAUACCACAGUGUGGUAAUAGUAUACCACACAAAGUGUCUUUUUGAUUCAUAGAUACCACAGUGUGGUAAUAGCAUACCAC